AAAAAUCUGGAGCCUUAACGCUAACAUGCGCUGGGCUCUAUUUUCCACCGCCGCUGCCACCGCCACCGUCGAUUCGUCGAUCUAGGGUUUCUCUCUUGGUGGGUUUCGGAAAUUUUCUGAUCCAAUUUUAUAAGAACAGAGAAAUCUCUUAGUUCUGGAAAAAUGGGUCUUUUAAGUGCUUUUGCAGCUGGGUUUGUGGUUAUAUUGAUGGUCUUUGAAGGGAUGGCGUCGCCGGAGACUGCUAAUGUGUCGGUUCGCUCAGUUUGUCCAUUGAAAUCUGUUAAAGAUUCGAUUUUUAUGGGGUUUCAAGAUUUGACUUGUCCAUUAGAUGGGAUCCAAUCUUCUUAUGUGGCUGAAGUUAUUCAGGGAGAUGAGCUGUCAUUGCAGAGGGCACUAAGUAUGAUUCACCGGAAUACACAUGAUUAUGUUGCUUUGCUUUUCUAUGCAUCCUGGUGUCCUUUCUCUAGAAGUUUUAGGCCAAAAUUUUCCAUCAUGUCUUCUUUGUAUCCUUCAAUUCCCCAUUUCGCAAUUGAAGAGUCAGCUGUUAAGCCAAGCACUCUCUCAAAGUAUGGAGUUCAUGGGUUUCCGACUCUCUUCCUUUUAAACUCAACAAUGCGCAUGCGGUAUCAUGGCUCUCGCUCCCUUGAUUCAGUGAUUGAAUUCUAUGGUGGCACUACUGGUUUUCAUAGUGCUUCGGUGGAUGCCACUUCUCUUGGCAAAAUGGGAUGCUCCUCAAAUCUUUUGAAACUGCAUGGAAGUGACCAGGAAAACUGUCCAUUCUCCUGGGCCAGAUCUCCUGAGAACCUUUUUCAGCAAGAGACAUAUUUGGCCUUAGCCACUGCAUUUGUGCUAUUGAAAGUACUUUAUAUGAUAUUUCCAGCUUUACGUAAGAUAGCUCAAAUUGGCUUGGGAGGUUGCAUAUUACAAAUAAGAAUAAGAAGCUUGUGGGAGCUUCCUCUGCUAUACCUGAACCGAGCUGUACAAUUAUGUAAUUCACUGAAGGAGCCAUGCAAAAGAAGCAACUUGCAGGAAGGAGCUAUGAAUGCCAAGGCAUGGGCUUCAAAGUCUUUAGCGUCUGUCUCAUUUGGAGAGUCUAGCGCUAGCCGGGUGGAACCAGUAAGUUCAACUCACUAAUUGCUUUGAUGGCCAUAUCUAUAAUCAUAGUGCUCUUUUAUAAUUGUUUUAGCAACCAUAAUUGGUGCUGGUAUUAUCCGAUUGGCGCAGCACUAUGCAAUAUCAAGCUUUUGAAACGAUAUGCUUCAAUUUUAUGUAAUGUAGAUUAGAAUUUUUUUCUCACCGUCGGAGAAAUAAUGUACCCACAUUGUAUAUAGCUUUAACUAAUAGGCAGAGCUUUUGAAUUCAGAUCUUUGUUUAUUUAAUUAAAUCAAGACACUGUCUAGUUCCUUUUGUAUGCUAAGCUGUCUUGAAUUACAUCUUUUGUG
Molecule: unclassified non-coding RNA, 1442 nt
Filed under: Hevea brasiliensis (rubber tree)
Lineage: Eukaryota; Viridiplantae; Streptophyta; Magnoliopsida; Malpighiales; Euphorbiaceae
Source: RNAcentral